This 579-nucleotide ribosomal RNA is filed under the name uncultured bacterium. RNAcentral's name for it is "bacterial SSU rRNA". It matches the Rfam family "Bacterial small subunit ribosomal RNA", at positions 97 to 692 of the family's 1533-position model. The record is from RNAcentral.
GGCGGACGGGUGAGUAACGCGUGAGGAACCUGCCUUUCAGAGGGGGACAACAGUUGGAAACGACUGCUAAUACCGCAUGACACAUUGAAGUCGCAUGGCUUUGAUGUCAAAGAUUUAUCGCUGAAAGAUGGCCUCGCGUCUGAUUAGCUAGUUGGUGAGGUAACGGCCCACCAAGGCGACGAUCAGUAGCCGGACUGAGAGGUUGAACGGCCACAUUGGGACUGAGAUACGGCCCAGACUCCUACGGGAGGCAGCAGUGGGGAAUAUUGGGCAAUGGGCGCAAGCCUGACCCAGCAACGCCGCGUGAAGGAAGAAGGCUUUCGGGUUGUAAACUUCUUUUGUCAGGGACGAGCAGAAGACGGUACCUGACGAAUAAGCCACGGCUAACUACGUGCCAGCAGCCGCGGUAAUACGUAGGUGGCAAGCGUUGUCCGGAUUUACUGGGUGUAAAGGGCGUGUAGCCGGGAGGGCAAGUCAGAUGUGAAAUCCACGGGCUCAACUCGUGAACUGCAUUUGAAACUACUCUUCUUGAGUAUCGGAGAGGCAAUCGGAAUUCCUAGUGUAGCGGUGAAAUGCGUA